RNAcentral lists this ribosomal RNA (459 nucleotides) under uncultured bacterium. RNAcentral's name for it is "partial 16S ribosomal RNA". It matches the Rfam family "Bacterial small subunit ribosomal RNA", at positions 338 to 795 of the family's 1533-position model. The record is from RNAcentral.
CCUACGGGAGGCAGCAGUGAGGAAUAUUGGUCAAUGGCCGGAAGCCUGAACCAGCCAAGUAGCGUGCGGGAUGAAGGCCCUACGGGUUGUAAACCGCUUUUGUACGGGGAUAAAACGCUCCACGUGUGGCGUUUUGCAGGUACCGUACGAAUAAGGGCCGGCUAAUUCCGUGCCAGCAGCCGCGGUAAUACGGAGGGUGCGAGCGUUAUCCGGAUUUAUUGGGUUUAAAGGGGGCGUAGGCGGACGGUCAAGUCAGCGGUAAAAUGUCGGGGCUCAACCGCGUCGUGCAGUUGAAACUGGGGUGCUUGAGUGCGCGAGAGGCAGGCGGAAUGCGUGGUGUAGCGGUGAAAUGCAUAGAUAUCACGCAGAACCCCGAUUGCGAAGGCAGCAUGCCGGCGCGCAACUGACGCUGAGGCUCGAAAGCGCGGGUAUCGAACAGGAUUAGAUACCCGAGUAGUC